RNAcentral lists this ribosomal RNA (233 nucleotides) under uncultured bacterium. RNAcentral describes it as "partial 16S ribosomal RNA". It matches the Rfam family "Bacterial small subunit ribosomal RNA", at positions 118 to 338 of the family's 1533-position model. The record is from RNAcentral.
UGGGUAACCUGCCUCAAAGAGGGGAAUAGCCUCCCGAAAGGGAGAUUAAUACCGCAUAAUAUGUUUAAGUCGCAUGACUUUAACAUCAAAGGAUUUUCUUUUAGAACUUCCACUUUGAGAUGGACCCGCGGCGCAUUAGCUAGUUGGUGAGGUAACGGCUCACCAAGGCAACGAUGCGUAGCCGACCUGAGAGGGUGAUCGGCCACAUUGGAACUGAGACACGGUCCAGACCU